AUUGAACGCUGGCGGCAGGCCUAACACAUGCAAGUCGAGCGAGCGGCGGACGGGUGAGUAAUGUCUGGGAAACUGCCUGAUGGAGGGGGAUAACUACUGGAAACGGUAGCUAAUACCGCAUACCAUCAGAUGUGCCCAGAUGGGAUUAGCUAGUAGGUGGGGUAAUGGCUCACCUAGGCGACGAUACCUAGCUGGUCUGAGAGGAUGACCAGCAACAUGGGAACGGAGCAACGGUCCGGCCUCCUACGGGAGGCAGCAGUGGGGAAUAUUGGCCAAUGGGCGAAAGCCUGAUGCAGCCAUGCGGCGUGUAUGAAGAAGGCCUUCGGGUUGUAAAGUACGUUCAGCGAGGAGGCGUUACUCGCAGAAGAAGCACCGGCUAACUCCGUGCCAGCAGCCGCGGUAAUAC
This 406-nucleotide ribosomal RNA is filed under the name uncultured bacterium. RNAcentral's name for it is "partial 16S ribosomal RNA". It matches the Rfam family "Bacterial small subunit ribosomal RNA", at positions 30 to 526 of the family's 1533-position model. The record is from RNAcentral.